GUGCUCAGUUUGGCAGUACAUACACUAAAAUAGAAACAAUACAUAGAUUAGCAUGGCCCCUGUGGAAGGAUGACAUGCAAAUUUGUGAAGUGUUCAUAUUUUUA
Small nuclear RNA from Pteronotus mesoamericanus, 104 nucleotides. Lineage: Eukaryota; Metazoa; Chordata; Mammalia; Chiroptera; Mormoopidae. The record is from RefSeq and is a predicted model, not a curated record.